GGGGCUGUAGCUCAGUGGCAGAGUGCUUGCCUAGCAUGCAUGAGGCAAUGGGUUUGAUCCUCAGCACCA
RNAcentral lists this transfer RNA (69 nucleotides) under Marmota marmota marmota (Alpine marmot). It matches the Rfam family "tRNA". Rfam says of the family: Transfer RNA (tRNA) molecules are approximately 80 nucleotides in length. Their secondary structure includes four short double-helical elements and three loops (D, anti-codon, and T loops). RNAcentral also lists the same sequence under 1 other name. The record is from Rfam by way of RNAcentral. Lineage: Eukaryota; Metazoa; Chordata; Mammalia; Rodentia; Sciuridae.